AUGAACGCUGGCGGCGUGCCUAAUACAUGCAAGUCGCGCGAACAGACGAGGAGCUUGCUCCUCUGACGUUAGCGGCGGACGGGUGAGUAACACGUGGAUAACCUACCUAUAAGACUGGGAUAACUUCGGGAAACCGGAGCUAAUACCGGAUAAUAUAUUGAACCGCAUGGUUCAAUAGUGAAAGACGGUUUUGCUGUCACUUAUAGAUGGAUCCGCGCCGCAUUAGCUAGUUGGUAAGGUAACGGCUUACCAAGGCAACGAUGCAUAGCCGACCUGAGAGGGUGAUCGGCCACACUGGAACUGAGACACGGUCCAGACUCCUACGGGAGGCAGCAGUAGGGAAUCUUCCGCAAAGGGCGAAAGCCUGACGGAGCAACGCCGCGUGAGUGAUGAAGGUCUUCGGAUCGUAAAACUCUGUUAUUAGGGAAGAACAAAUGUGUAAGUAACUAUGCACGUCUUGACGGUACCUAAUCAGAAAGCCACGGCUAACUACGUG
Molecule: ribosomal RNA, 496 nt
Filed under: uncultured bacterium
Lineage: Bacteria
Description: partial 16S ribosomal RNA
Rfam family: Bacterial small subunit ribosomal RNA
Source: RNAcentral